Molecule: ribosomal RNA, 377 nt
Filed under: uncultured eukaryote
Lineage: Eukaryota
Description: partial 18S ribosomal RNA
Rfam family: Eukaryotic small subunit ribosomal RNA
Source: RNAcentral
CAAUAGCGUAUAUUUAAGUUGCUGCAGUUAAAAAGCUCGUAGUUGGAUUUCGGGUGGGAAUGGCCGGUCCGCCGUUUCGGUGUGCACUGGCUACGCCCACCUUGCUGCCGGGGACGUGCUCUUGAGUUCACGCUCGGGACACGGAGUCGGCGAGGUUACUUUGAGUAAAUUAGAGUGUUCAAAGCAGGCCUACGCUCUGAAUACAUUAGCAUGGAAUAACACGAUAGGACUCUGGCCUAUCUUGUUGGUCUGUAGGACCGGAGUAAUGAUUAAGAGGGACAGUCGGGGGCAUUCGUAUUUCAUUGUCAGAGGUGAAAUUCUUGGAUUUAUGAAAGACGAACUACUGCGAAAGCAUUUGCCAAGGAUGUUUUCAUUAA